CGGGGGGCUGCAGUAGGGAAUUUUCGUCAAUGGGCGCAAGCCUGAACGAGCGAUGCCGCGUGAGUGAAGAAGGCCUUCGGGUCGUAAAGUUCUUUCGACAGGGAAGAAAAUGCCCAUAAGUAACUGUGUAUGUAUUGACGGUACCUGUAUAAGCAGCCCCGGCUAACUCCGUGCCAGCAGCCGCGGUAAUACGGAGGGGGCGAGCGUUGUUCGGAGUGACUGGGCGUAAAGAGCACGUAGGCGGUGUUGUAAGUCAUUAGUCAAAGACUAGAGCUCAACUUUAGUAAGGCUAGUGAUACUAUAAUACUAGAGUAUCAGAGAGGAUUGCAGAAUUCCUGGUGUAGCGGUGAAAUGCGUAGAUAUCAGGAGGAAUACCGUUAGCGAAGGCGGCAAUCUGGCUGGAAACUGACGCUGAGGUGCGAAAGCGUGGGUAGCAAACAGGAUUAGAUACCCCAGUAGUC
RNAcentral lists this ribosomal RNA (461 nucleotides) under uncultured bacterium. Its description in RNAcentral is "partial 16S ribosomal RNA". It matches the Rfam family "Bacterial small subunit ribosomal RNA", at positions 342 to 795 of the family's 1533-position model. The record is from RNAcentral.